GCUGUUGUAGCUCAGGGGUUAAGGAGUUCCACUGGUGAUCAUAAGGUCACUGGUUCAAUCUCCAGUUGAAGGUG
Molecule: non-coding RNA, 74 nt
Organism: Danionella cerebrum
Lineage: Eukaryota; Metazoa; Chordata; Actinopteri; Cypriniformes; Danionidae
Source: the annotation of a GenBank genome assembly